RNAcentral lists this ribosomal RNA (449 nucleotides) under Pycnococcus provasolii. RNAcentral describes it as "partial Bacterial large subunit ribosomal RNA". It matches the Rfam family "Bacterial large subunit ribosomal RNA", at positions 856 to 1301 of the family's 2925-position model. Lineage: Eukaryota; Viridiplantae; Chlorophyta; Pseudoscourfieldiophyceae; Pseudoscourfieldiales; Pycnococcaceae. The record is from RNAcentral.
UCCGCGAAAUCUAUUUAGGUAGAGCGUCCGACGAAUUCCUUGGGGGGUAGAGCACUGGAUGGUUGCGGGCUGCGCGAGCGGUACCAAUACUAACCAAACUCCGAAUACCCAAGAGAACUAUCGGGCAGACACACGGCGGGUGCUAACGUCCGUCGUGAAAAGGGAAACAACCCUGACCUACAGCUAAGGCCCCCAAUUCGUGGCUAAGUGGGAAAGGAUGUGGGAAUCCCAAAACAACCAGGAGGUUGGCUUAGAAGCAGCCAUCCUUUAAAGAAAGCGUAACAGCUCACUGGUCUAAAUAAGGGUUCCUGCGGCGAAGAUGUAACGGGGCUCAAGACGUGCACCGAAGCUUAGGGUGUGGAUUUAUCCACGCGGUAGCGGAGCGUUCCGUAAGCGAGUGAAGCGGGAGGGUAACCGACCGUGGACGUAUCGGAAGUGCGAAUGCUGAC